Molecule: ribosomal RNA, 524 nt
Filed under: uncultured bacterium
Lineage: Bacteria
Description: bacterial SSU rRNA
Rfam family: Bacterial small subunit ribosomal RNA
Source: RNAcentral
CUACGUGCCAGCAGCCGCGGUAAUACGUAGGUCCCGAGCGUUGUCCGGAUUUAUUGGGCGUAAAGCGAGCGCAGGCGGUUAGAUAAGUCUGAAGUUAAAGGCUGUGGCUUAACCAUAGUACGCUUUGGAAACUGUUUAACUUGAGUGCAAGAGGGGAGAGUGGAAUUCCAUGUGUAGCGGUGAAAUGCGUAGAUAUAUGGAGGAACACCGGUGGCGAAAGCGGCUCUCUGGCUUGUAACUGACGCUGAGGCUCGAAAGCGUGGGGAGCAAACAGGAUUAGAUACCCUGGUAGUCCACGCCGUAAACGAUGAGUGCUAGGUGUUAGACCCUUUCCGGGGUUUAGUGCCGCAGCUAACGCAUUAAGCACUCCGCCUGGGGAGUACGACCGCAAGGUUGAAACUCAAAUGAAUUGACGGGGGCCCGCACAAGCGGUGGAGCAUGUGGUUUAAUUCGAUGCAACACGAAGAACCUUACCUGGUCUUGACAUACACAGAAUCUUGCAGAGAUGCGAGAGUGCUUCGGGA